RNAcentral lists this non-coding RNA (28 nucleotides) under Bombyx mori (domestic silkworm). Lineage: Eukaryota; Metazoa; Arthropoda; Insecta; Lepidoptera; Bombycidae. The record is from RNAcentral.
UCAUAUACCCUAUCACGCUCUGAAGCAU